RNAcentral lists this ribosomal RNA (253 nucleotides) under uncultured bacterium. Its description in RNAcentral is "partial 16S ribosomal RNA". It matches the Rfam family "Bacterial small subunit ribosomal RNA", at positions 524 to 776 of the family's 1533-position model. The record is from RNAcentral.
UACAGAGGUCUCAAGCGUUGUUCGGAUUCAUUGGGCGUAAAGGGUGCGUAGGCGGCGCGGUAAGUCGGGUGUGAAAUCUUGGAGCUUAACUCCGAAACUGCAUUCGAUACUGCCGUGCUUGAGGACUGGAGAGGAGACUGGAAUUUACGGUGUAGCGGUGAAAUGCGUAGUUAUCGUAAGGAAGACCAGUGGCGAAGGCGGGUCUCUGGACAGUUCCUGACGCUGAGGAGCGAAAGCAUGGGGAGCGAACAGG